GGGUGCAAACGUUGUUCGGAAUUACUGGGCGUAAAGCGCGUGUAGGCGGCCAUGCAAGUCGGAUGUGAAAGCCCUCGGCUCAACCGGGGAAGUGCACUCGAAACUGCAAGGCUAGAGUCUCGGAGAGGAUCGUGGAAUUCUCGGUGUAGAGGUGAAAUUCGUAGAUAUCGAGAGGAACACUGGUGGCGAAGGCGGCGAUCUGGACGAUGACUGACGCUGAGACGCGAAAGCGUGGGGAGCAAACAGG
RNAcentral lists this ribosomal RNA (247 nucleotides) under uncultured bacterium. RNAcentral describes it as "partial 16S ribosomal RNA". It matches the Rfam family "Bacterial small subunit ribosomal RNA", at positions 530 to 776 of the family's 1533-position model. The record is from RNAcentral.